Molecule: ribosomal RNA, 283 nt
Filed under: uncultured prokaryote
Description: partial 16S ribosomal RNA
Rfam family: Bacterial small subunit ribosomal RNA
Source: RNAcentral
UACGUAGGGGGCUAGCGUUAUCCGGAAUUACUGGGCGUAAAGGGUGCGUAGGUGGUUUCUUAAGUCAGAGGUGAAAGGCUACGGCUCAACCGUAGUAAGCCUUUGAAACUGGGAAACUUGAGUGCAGGAGAGGAGAGUGGAAUUCCUAGUGUAGCGGUGAAAUGCGUAGAUAUUAGGAGGAACACCAGUUGCGAAGGCGGCUCUCUGGACUGUAACUGACGCUGAGGCUCGAAAGCGUGGGGAGCAAACAGGAUUAGAUACCCCCGUAGUCCUUGAGCGGGCU